This is a long non-coding RNA of Rosa rugosa (rugosa rose), 4204 nucleotides long. RefSeq lists it as uncharacterized. The transcript is spliced from 7 exons. The record is from RefSeq and is a predicted model, not a curated record. Lineage: Eukaryota; Viridiplantae; Streptophyta; Magnoliopsida; Rosales; Rosaceae.
AUUAGGUUGUUAGGUUCUGUAGACUCGUUUCUAUUCUGUUACCUUAUAUGCUUGGUGUUGCCCAGUACCUCUCGAGUGAUGGCCCGACUGCAGCGGUUCCCCAUCGUGUACUCUUCGGUGCUGUGGUAUUCAUCAAGUGUGUAAGGUACAAAGCUAGUUGGUUUUCUUCUGGUGCUAUGCCUCUUGUACGCCGACCUCUUAGGGUUUUCUUUGCGUAUUUGUUUGGUUAAUUGUUUUGCGCCUAUCUCUGGUGAUGGUAGAGUAAAACUACUUUAGAGUUUCGAGUUGUGCUACGAAAUGUGAUUCGAGGAAAAUGUUGUGGUUGUCUUUUCCUCGAUGCCAACAAUUUUGUUGGGGCAUGGAUUAAGGUGUGAAAAUCGGAGUUCGAGGUUUUGUUUGAGUGUCUGAGACGAGUGACAAUAGCUUUGGGCUGCCUCUGGAUGAUAAAAUUGUUUCGGAAUCUGGAUUAUUGUUGAAUUGAGACUAGUAGUAAUUGUGGUUCUGAUUUUGAACCGAGUUUCGGUAGAUGUGUCAUGUGAUGUGAUCGGUUGUUAAGUAACAUUUGAAAUAUUAUUGGGAGUUUUUGGUGAUUCCUGGGGAAUCUCAGUGUUGGAAACCAUUUAUAGAGGGAAAUUGAAUAAAUAUUCUGAUUUUUCUGGCUAGAUGCUGUGUUUCCUAGUGACUCUGGUCACUGAUAAAGGUGAAGUAUUUAAGUGGUGAUUAAUUCGAGAAAUUGGAUCGUUAUGUGGUGGGACCACUUUCGGAUCCGAGUGUUGUGGUGUUUGAUACAAGAUAUUGGACGAGUGCAAUUUGUUCUCCAUCAUGGAUACCGUUUAUAGAAGACUUGGUGAAUGGUGUUUUGUCGUUCGGGAAAACUGGUUGUUGUUUGAGUGUAAUACGUGUAGAGGAUUGCUUUGGAGGAAUUGAGUGGUCUUACUAUCUUGGUGCCGUUACUGGUGGUAAUGGUUAAGCUAUUGAGAUAUUUGUUCUGACGAUGAACCGAGUCUCAAAAGAUGUGUUACACGAUGUGAUCGGCUACGUAAGUGACAUUUGGGGACGUGUAUAGUUGUUACUUGUCCGUGUUAAUUUCGAGGGCGAAAUAUUAUAAGGAGGGGAGAUUGUAACGUCCCGAACCUGAAUUUACCCGUUUACUAGUCAUUUGGACGGUAAUCGACCUUUACUUUCAUUUUUAUUGUCAUUUCAGCACUUUUAGUGGCCCUAAAAGUUGACUUUUUAUUCGGGUCAAAAUUUGAGAAAAUGUUCUUCAUGAAAGUUGUAGAGGACGUUAAACCGAGCGCGUGCAUAUGUAGUACGUAAAAAUCGGAGUUCGUAUACGAAAGUUAUGGCCAAAAUACUAAAGUUACUGUUUAUGUGGUAAGCUUCUAUAAAUAGCCGAGUUACUAUGGUAAGUUUCCAUUUUCGGAAACUUACCGGGCUGUCUCUCUUCUCUCUCCCCGAUUCUCUCUUCCUCUCCGACCUCUUCACCUUCUUCCGGCCAUAACUCCUCCAUCCGGCGACGGAUUUUGACGUAUAAGAUGUCGUUGGAAAGCUCUCUUCCUUCUCUUCAUUUCUGGGUUCGUUUCGUAGCUUAAUAUGAACUGUGGAAGGUGAAGCAACGAGAAGAAGAGGACGGUCACUGUAGUAGUUUGUUAUUUCCGGCGAUAUCUUCCGAUUCCGGCCGUCUCCGGCCACCAAAUUGGCGUCGAAGGGUUCUUGGAGUUUUCUGGAAAUUUUUCACCGGCCAAAUUGGAGCCCUUCAAGGACGAUAUAUCGAGUUACCGCUUGACGAAGGAACUCGUUUUCGUGGUCGCCAACCAGUAUUUUUGCAGGCUAGAUUAGUUGAGGUCGGGCGUACGUGGAGUCGAGGCAUAGUCAACAGCAUUGCUUCCGCGUACUCAUUCUAUUUCUAUUUUCUUUGUUAUCUAGUGGAUUAGUAUUGCUCUGAUAACCUGUGGGAAUAAUAUUAUUUUAUUUUAUUUUUGGGUUGAGACUGGUAUUUGUGAAAUUGGAGUUGUGAUUUGGGGAGCAGGUGGCUCCAGGAGUUUAAAGAUGGUUUGUUUAGAAGUGUAAUGUGUGUUGUACAGGUUUGGGUAGUCCACUUUUAGGGGUGACUCUGCUGAAUUUUCGGUAGAGUUAUUCUUAAGGUGGGCCCCACAGGGCCACCUCGGAUUUCAGGGUGAAAUCCGGGGCGGGUCCUGUCAAUUUGGUAUCAGAGCAUUAGGUUGUUAGGUUCUGUAGACUCGUUUCUAUUCUGUUACCUUAUAUGCUUGGUGUUGCCCAGUACCUCUCGAGUGAUGGCCCGACUGCAGCGGUUCCCCAUCGUGUACUCUUCGGUGCUGUGGUAUUCAUCAAGUGUGUAAGGUACAAAGCUAGUUGGUUUUCUUCUGGUGCUAUGCCUCUUGUACGCCGACCUCUUAGGGUUUUCUUUGCGUAUUUGUUUGGUUAAUUGUUUUGCGCCUAUCUCUGGUGAUGGUAGAGUAAAACUACUUUAGAGUUUCGAGUUGUGCUACGAAAUGUGAUUCGAGGAAAAUGUUGUGGUUGUCUUUUCCUCGAUGCCAACAAUUUUGUUGGGGCAUGGAUUAAGGUGUGAAAAUCGGAGUUCGAGGUUUUGUUUGAGUGUCUGAGACGAGUGACAAUAGCUUUGGGCUGCCUCUGGAUGAUAAAAUUGUUUCGGAAUCUGGAUUAUUGUUGAAUUGAGACUAGUAGUAAUUGUGGUUCUGAUUUUGAACCGAGUUUCGGUAGAUGUGUCAUGUGAUGUGAUCGGUUGUUAAGUAACAUUUGAAAUAUUAUUGGGAGUUUUUGGUGAUUCCUGGGGAAUCUCAGUGUUGGAAACCAUUUAUAGAGGGAAAUUGAAUAAAUAUUCUGAUUUUUCUGGCUAGAUGCUGUGUUUCCUAGUGACUCUGGUCACUGAUAAAGGUGAAGUAUUUAAGUGGUGAUUAAUUCGAGAAAUUGGAUCGUUAUGUGGUGGGACCACUUUCGGAUCCGAGUGUUGUGGUGUUUGAUACAAGAUAUUGGACGAGUGCAAUUUGUUCUCCAUCAUGGAUACCGUUUAUAGAAGACUUGGUGAAUGGUGUUUUGUCGUUCGGGAAAACUGGUUGUUGUUUGAGUGUAAUACGUGUAGAGGAUUGCUUUGGAGGAAUUGAGUGGUCUUACUAUCUUGGUGCCGUUACUGGUGGUAAUGGUUAAGCUAUUGAGAUAUUUGUUCUGACGAUGAACCGAGUCUCAAAAGAUGUGUUACACGAUGUGAUCGGCUACGUAAGUGACAUUUGGGGACGUGUAUAGUUGUUACUUGUCCGUGUUAAUUUCGAGGGCGAAAUAUUAUAAGGAGGGGAGAUUGUAACGUCCCGAACCUGAAUUUACCCGUUUACUAGUCAUUUGGACGGUAAUCGACCUUUACUUUCAUUUUUAUUGUCAUUUCAGCACUUUUAGUGGCCCUAAAAGUUGACUUUUUAUUCGGGUCAAAAUUUGAGAAAAUGUUCUUCAUGAAAGUUGUAGAGGACGUUAAACCGAGCGCGUGCAUAUGUAGUACGUAAAAAUCGGAGUUCGUAUACGAAAGUUAUGGCCAAAAUACUAAAGUUACUGUUUAUGUGGUAAGCUUCUAUAAAUAGCCGAGUUACUAUGGUAAGUUUCCAUUUUCGGAAACUUACCGGGCUGUCUCUCUUCUCUCUCCCCGAUUCUCUCUUCCUCUCCGACCUCUUCACCUUCUUCCGGCCAUAACUCCUCCAUCCGGCGACGGAUUUUGACGUAUAAGAUGUCGUUGGAAAGCUCUCUUCCUUCUCUUCAUUUCUGGGUUCGUUUCGUAGCUUAAUAUGAACUGUGGAAGGUGAAGCAACGAGAAGAAGAGGACGGUCACUGUAGUAGUUUGUUAUUUCCGGCGAUAUCUUCCGAUUCCGGCCGUCUCCGGCCACCAAAUUGGCGUCGAAGGGUUCUUGGAGUUUUCUGGAAAUUUUUCACCGGCCAAAUUGGAGCCCUUCAAGGACGAUAUAUCGAGUUACCGCUUGACGAAGGAACUCGUUUUCGUGGUCGCCAACCAGUAUUUUUGCAGGCUAGAUUAGUUGAGGUCGGGCGUACGUGGAGUCGAGGCAUAGUCAACAGCAUUGCUUCCGCGUACUCAUUCUAUUUCUAUUUUCUUUGUUAUCUAGUGGAUUAGUAUUGCUCUGAUAACCUGUGGGAAUAAUAUUAUUUUAUUUUAUUUUUGGGUUGA